RNAcentral lists this ribosomal RNA (496 nucleotides) under uncultured bacterium. RNAcentral's name for it is "partial 16S ribosomal RNA". It matches the Rfam family "Bacterial small subunit ribosomal RNA", at positions 28 to 507 of the family's 1533-position model. The record is from RNAcentral.
GAUGAACGCUGGCGGCGUGCCUAAUACAUGCAAGUCGAGCGAACAGAUGAGGAGCUUGCUCCUCUGACGUUAGCGGCGGACGUGUGAGUAACACGUGGAUAACCUACCUAUAAGACUGGGAUAACUUCGGGAAACCGGAGCUAAUACCGGAUAAUAUAUUGAACCGCAUGGUUCAAUAGUGAAAGACGGUUUUCCUGUCACUUAUAGCUGGAUCCGCGCCGCCUUAUCUAGUUGGUAAGGUAACGCCUUACCAAGGCAACGAUGCUUAGCGGACCUGAGAGGGGAUUCGCCCACCCUGAACCGGAGACACGUUCAGGACCCUUACGGGAGGAGGAAGUGGGAAUAUUCCGCAAUGGGCGAAAGCCUGACGGAGCAACGCCGCGUGAGUGAUGAAGGUCUUCGGAUCGUAAAGCUCUGUUAUUAGGGAAGAACAAAUGUGUAAGUAACUAUGCACGUCUUGACGGUACCUAAUCAGAAAGCCACGGCUAACUACGUG